Molecule: ribosomal RNA, 460 nt
Filed under: uncultured bacterium
Lineage: Bacteria
Description: partial 16S ribosomal RNA
Rfam family: Bacterial small subunit ribosomal RNA
Source: RNAcentral
CCUACGGGAGACAGCAGUGAGGAAUAUUGGUCAAUGGACGAGAGUCUGAACCAGCCAAGUAGCGUGAAGGAUGACUGCCCUAUGGGUUGUAAACUUCUUUUAUAUGGGAAUAAAACAGGGUAUGCAUACCCUCUUGUAUGUACCAUAUGAAUAAGGAUCGGCUAACUCCGUGCCAGCAGCCGCGGUAAUACGGAGGAUCCGAGCGUUAUCCGGAUUUAUUGGGUUUAAAGGGAGCGUAGGUGGAUUGUUAAGUCAGUUGUGAAAGUUUGCGGCUCAACCGUAAAAUUGCAGUUGAAACUGGCAGUCUUGAGUACAGUAGAGGUGGGCGGAAUUCGUGGUGUAGCGGUGAAAUGCUUAGAUAUCACGAAGAACUCCGAUUGCGAAGGCAGCUCACUGGACUGCAACUGACACUGAUGCUCGAAAGUGUGGGUAGCAAACAGGAUUAGAUACCCCGGUAGUC